AAAGUCGUAACAAGGUCUCCGUAGGUGAACCUGCGGAGGGAUCAUUACCGAGUGAGGGCCUCCGGGUCCGACCUCCAACCCUUUGUGAACACAUCCCGUUGCUUCGGGGGGCGACCCUGCCGGGCGCCCCCGGAGGACCACACAACACUGCAUCUUUGCGUCGGAGUUUACGAGUAAAUCGAAACAAAA
Molecule: unclassified non-coding RNA, 189 nt
Filed under: plant metagenome
Description: partial contains small subunit ribosomal RNA and internal transcribed spacer 1
Rfam family: Eukaryotic small subunit ribosomal RNA (bases 1-47)
Source: RNAcentral